CUUGUGUCGGACGCGCAUGUCUUGCCGCCGUAUUAUUAUCGUUAAAAAAUAAUAUUGUUUUAGUGUAAAGUAAAUGUGUAAUACUAAAAGUGCUUAGCAGUAGAUUUAUUGUGCGACGUGUAUGUGAAAACGUCAAAGGAAUUGUUUUCAUUACGAGAAGUGCCAGUCAAAACGGAAUCCAUGUUAAAUCCUUUAUUGCAGUGUUUCAAAUACACCUGUUCCCCUCUAUGCCCAUCAAGAACCAAUAAGUCAACUGUAGGAUGCAUGGAAUAAUCUUCAAGAAGGCGAAUGCCACAUCGUCAACGUCAUCAUUGUACUACAAGAGAGAAAGGGAGAGGCAGACACAAGGUAUGCAUAAACCAGAGGGGAUUAACUAGAGCACUGAUAUUGAGAAGGCCAAAAUGAGCAACUUGAAGGGGGGCAAAGGGCAUGGAGAACAACAGUCAGCAUGAAACUAAUGUCAACUUGUCGCAGACGUGGUGCAUCUACAAAACAGUG
Schistocerca cancellata (South American locust) is the source of this 498-nucleotide long non-coding RNA. RefSeq lists it as uncharacterized. The record is from RefSeq and is a predicted model, not a curated record. NCBI's taxonomy places the organism in Eukaryota, Metazoa, Arthropoda, Insecta, Orthoptera, Acrididae. The transcript is spliced from 4 exons.